This 497-nucleotide ribosomal RNA is filed under the name uncultured bacterium. Its description in RNAcentral is "bacterial SSU rRNA". It matches the Rfam family "Bacterial small subunit ribosomal RNA", at positions 24 to 518 of the family's 1533-position model. The record is from RNAcentral.
UCAGGAUGAACGCUGGCGGCGUGCUUAACACAUGCAAGUCGAACGGAGUGUGCUUUGAUGAAGAUUCGUCUGAUUCAGCUGUACACUUAGUGGCGGACGGGUGAGUAACGCGUGGGUAACCUGCCUCAUACAGGGGGAUAGCAGCUGGAAACGGCUGAUAAAACCGCAUAAGCGCACACUAUCGCAUGAUAGAGUGUGAAAAACUCCGGUGGUAUGAGAUGGACCCGCGUCUGAUUAGCUUGUUGGUGAGGUAACGGCCCACCAAGGCGACGAUCAGUAGCCGGCCUGAGAGGGUGAACGGCCACAUUGGGACUGAGACACGGCCCAAACUCCUACGGGAGGCAGCAGUGGGGAAUAUUGCACAAUGGGGGAAACCCUGAAUGCAGCGACGCCGCGUGAAGGAUGACGUAUUUCGGUAUGUAAACUUCUAUCAGCAGGGAAGAACAAGUGACGGUACCUGACUAAGAAGCCCCGGCUAACUACGUGCCAGCCGCCGC